RNAcentral lists this ribosomal RNA (2900 nucleotides) under Klebsiella pneumoniae. RNAcentral's name for it is "23S ribosomal RNA". It matches the Rfam family "Bacterial large subunit ribosomal RNA". Lineage: Bacteria; Pseudomonadati; Pseudomonadota; Gammaproteobacteria; Enterobacterales; Enterobacteriaceae. The record is from RNAcentral.
UUAAGCGACUAAGCGUACACGGUGGAUGCCCUGGCAGUCAGAGGCGAUGAAGGACGUGCUAAUCUGCGAAAAGCGUCGGUAAGGUGAUAUGAACCGUUAUAACCGGCGAUGUCCGAAUGGGGAAACCCAGUGUGAUUCGUCACACUAUCGUUAACUGAAUACAUAGGUUAACGAGGCGAACCGGGGGAACUGAAACAUCUAAGUACCCCGAGGAAAAGAAAUCAACCGAGAUUCCCCCAGUAGCGGCGAGCGAACGGGGAGCAGCCCAGAGUCUGAAUCAGCUUGUGUGUUAGUGGAACGGUCUGGAAAGUCCGACGGUACAGGGUGAUAGUCCCGUACACCAAAAUGCACAGGCUGUGAACUCGAAGAGUAGGGCGGGACACGUGGUAUCCUGUCUGAAUAUGGGGGGACCAUCCUCCAAGGCUAAAUACUCCUGACUGACCGAUAGUGAACCAGUACCGUGAGGGAAAGGCGAAAAGAACCCCGGCGAGGGGAGUGAAAAAGAACCUGAAACCGUGUACGUACAAGCAGUGGGAGCACCUUCGGGUGUGACUGCGUACCUUUUGUAUAAUGGGUCAGCGACUUAUAUUCUGUAGCAAGGUUAACCGUAUAGGGGAGCCGCAGGGAAACCGAGUCUUAACUGGGCGUUAAGUUGCAGGGUAUAGACCCGAAACCCGGUGAUCUAGCCAUGGGCAGGUUGAAGGUUGGGUAACACUAACUGGAGGACCGAACCGACUAAUGUUGAAAAAUUAGCGGAUGACUUGUGGCUGGGGGUGAAAGGCCAAUCAAACCGGGAGAUAGCUGGUUCUCCCCGAAAGCUAUUUAGGUAGCGCCUCGUGAAUUCAUCUUCGGGGGUAGAGCACUGUUUCGGCUAGGGGGUCAUCCCGACUUACCAACCCGAUGCAAACUACGAAUACCGAAGAAUGUUAUCACGGGAGACACACGGCGGGUGCUAACGUCCGUCGUGAAGAGGGAAACAACCCAGACCGCCAGCUAAGGUCCCAAAGUCAUGGUUAAGUGGGAAACGAUGUGGGAAGGCACAGACAGCCAGGAUGUUGGCUUAGAAGCAGCCAUCAUUUAAAGAAAGCGUAAUAGCUCACUGGUCGAGUCGGCCUGCGCGGAAGAUGUAACGGGGCUAAACCAUGCACCGAAGCUGCGGCAGCGACACUAUGUGUUGUUGGGUAGGGGAGCGUUCUGUAAGCCUGCGAAGGUGACCUGUGAGGGUUGCUGGAGGUAUCAGAAGUGCGAAUGCUGACAUAAGUAACGAUAAAGCGGGUGAAAAGCCCGCUCGCCGGAAGACCAAGGGUUCCUGUCCAACGUUAAUCGGGGCAGGGUGAGUCGACCCCUAAGGCGAGGCCGAAAGGCGUAGUCGAUGGGAAACAGGUUAAUAUUCCUGUACUUGGUGUUACUGCGAAGGGGGGACGGAGAAGGCUAUGUUAGCCGGGCGACGGUUGUCCCGGUUUAAGCAUGUAGGCUGGUUGUCCAGGCAAAUCCGGAUAAUCAAGGCUGAGGUGUGAUGACGAGGCACUACGGUGCUGAAGUAACAAAUGCCCUGCUUCCAGGAAAAGCCUCUAAGCAUCAGGUAACAUCAAAUCGUACCCCAAACCGACACAGGUGGUCAGGUAGAGAAUACCAAGGCGCUUGAGAGAACUCGGGUGAAGGAACUAGGCAAAAUGGUGCCGUAACUUCGGGAGAAGGCACGCUGGUGUGUAGGUGAAGUCCCUGCGGAUGGAGCUGAGACCAGUCGAAGAUACCAGCUGGCUGCAACUGUUUAUUAAAAACACAGCACUGUGCAAACACGAAAGUGGACGUAUACGGUGUGACGCCUGCCCGGUGCCGGAAGGUUAAUUGAUGGGGUUAUCCGUAAGGAGAAGCUCUUGAUCGAAGCCCCGGUAAACGGCGGCCGUAACUAUAACGGUCCUAAGGUAGCGAAAUUCCUUGUCGGGUAAGUUCCGACCUGCACGAAUGGCGUAAUGAUGGCCAGGCUGUCUCCACCCGAGACUCAGUGAAAUUGAACUCGCUGUGAAGAUGCAGUGUACCCGCGGCAAGACGGAAAGACCCCGUGAACCUUUACUAUAGCUUGACACUGAACAUUGAGCCUUGAUGUGUAGGAUAGGUGGGAGGCUUUGAAGCGUGGACGCCAGUCUGCGUGGAGCCAACCUUGAAAUACCACCCUUUAAUGUUUGAUGUUCUAACGUUGGCCCCUUAUCGGGGUUGCGGACAGUGUCUGGUGGGUAGUUUGACUGGGGCGGUCUCCUCCCAAAGCGUAACGGAGGAGCACGAAGGUUAGCUAAUCCUGGUCGGACAUCAGGAGGUUAGUGCAAUGGCAUAAGCUAGCUUGACUGCGAGCGUGACGGCGCGAGCAGGUGCGAAAGCAGGUCAUAGUGAUCCGGUGGUUCUGAAUGGAAGGGCCAUCGCUCAACGGAUAAAAGGUACUCCGGGGAUAACAGGCUGAUACCGCCCAAGAGUUCAUAUCGACGGCGGUGUUUGGCACCUCGAUGUCGGCUCAUCACAUCCUGGGGCUGAAGUAGGUCCCAAGGGUAUGGCUGUUCGCCAUUUAAAGUGGUACGCGAGCUGGGUUUAGAACGUCGUGAGACAGUUCGGUCCCUAUCUGCCGUGGGCGCUGGAGAAUUGAGGGGGGCUGCUCCUAGUACGAGAGGACCGGAGUGGACGCAUCACUGGUGUUCGGGUUGUCAUGCCAAUGGCACUGCCCGGUAGCUAAAUGCGGAAGAGAUAAGUGCUGAAAGCAUCUAAGCACGAAACUUGCCCCGAGAUGAGUUCUCCCUGAGACUUUAAGUCUCCUGAAGGAACGUUAAAGACGAUGACGUUGAUAGGCCGGGUGUGUAAGCGCAGCGAUGCGUUGAGCUAACCGGUACUAAUGAACCGUGAGGCUUAACCUU